GGCGGGUUCCUGGCUCGGCUCUACCACCAUGGAUCUAGGUGGGCUCAAUGUCAUCACAAGGGUGCUUAAGAGGGAAAGAGGAAGCCAUGAGGGUCAGAGUCAAAGGAAGACUUGAAGAUACUACACUGCGGACUUUACAGAUGAAGGAAGGGGCGAAAACCAAGAAUGUGGGAAGCCUCUAGAAGCUAGAGAAGGCAAGGAAACAAAUUUUCCACUAGAGCCUCCAGAAGGAACACAGCCCUGCUGACCCACUGUAAUGUCUGACCUCUAGAUGUGUAAGGGUAGUAAGACUGAAAGUCUCAGAAAGGCACUGUUACAUUCUUAUUCCACAACUAUGCAACUCGAAACUGGGGUCCUCAGCAGUGAGCGAGGGGUGAGAGAAGACACUGUAUAAACAUGGCACAUCCUCCUGGAAAGUCAACUUUACUCAAAGGUUCUUACACACAGUGACAGCUAGCAGAGUCUAAAAUGCUGACAUUAUGACUUAGAGAUGUGAUAAAGAGAAACAUCUACUGCAUUUUCUUGGCUCGUGUGGAAUGACUUAUCCUGGAAUUUAGAGUUGAAGAUAAUCCUGAUGCUUCAAAGAGAAGAGUUGAAACACAGUCCUUUUUCUAAACAGAGGAAUUGUUGAAUAUGCGACUGAACCUCCGACUUAACUAAUUAGUUAAUUUGGAGCAGAGUUUGAACACAGUCCUUUUUCUAAACAGAGGAAUUGUUGAAUAUGCAACUGGUCCUCUGACUUAACUAAUUAUUUAAUUUGGAAGUUAUAGGUUUUUUAUUACUUGAGGAGCAGCUUUCUCUGAACAAAUACAGUGUCCCCUGGGGUGUCCAAAUUGUGACAGAAAAGUAGAGCCAGCUUGAAACUAGCUAGUCAUCACAUAGUGGCAUCAUGUGAAUGAAGACUCCCCCAAAUCUGUGACCCUCUUCUAUCCUUAUGGACUAAUUCAAUAAAUAAAUGAGCACUUUCUCAGUUCCCAAACUGAGAGCAUUUUAAAAAAAUAAUGAGAGCACAGAUAUCUAUUUAGAGAGAUGGCGAGAUAGAGGAGAGAGCAAGUUGCACACCACGAAACAAAGGGAAAGAUAAGAAGAGAGAGUGUGUCACUACUUCCCCGUGGCAGAAUCACAAUCUUCUUUUGGAUGUCAUGUUGAAAAGAUUCCCAAUUCGUAGUUCUGUGAGCUAAAGCAGAUGGAUGCUCCAUGUUGGUACAAAUUCCUAUUUGAAGCAGUGUGGUUGCAAAGAUGGGGUUUGGGUCAUUUGAUUUUCUCCGAAAAACAAUCUUGUGUAACUGUUAAAAGAAUUUAUAAUACCCAAUGCAAUGUAUCAUCCAUGAUGCUUCUUCAAAAAUGUUAAAUAAAUGCUGAAACCAGUGUUUCAAA
Molecule: long non-coding RNA, 1377 nt
Filed under: Pan troglodytes (chimpanzee)
Lineage: Eukaryota; Metazoa; Chordata; Mammalia; Primates; Hominidae
Description: lincRNA
Source: RNAcentral